CAGUGCUUACAAAACACCCUGAAUGUGCCUGAUCUCGUCUGAUCUCAGAAGCUAAGCAGGGUCGGGCCUGGUUAGUACUUGGAUGGGAGAACACCAAACAAAUAUAAUGAAAGGAGUUUUCCAUGGCAUAUCCAUUGU
This 138-nucleotide ribosomal RNA is filed under the name Chinchilla lanigera (long-tailed chinchilla). The record is from RNAcentral. Lineage: Eukaryota; Metazoa; Chordata; Mammalia; Rodentia; Chinchillidae.